Molecule: ribosomal RNA, 504 nt
Filed under: uncultured Glomus
Lineage: Eukaryota; Fungi; Glomeromycota; Glomeromycetes; Glomerales; Glomeraceae
Description: SSU rRNA
Rfam family: Eukaryotic small subunit ribosomal RNA
Source: RNAcentral
AGCAGCCGCGGUAAUUCCAGCUCCAAUAGCGUAUAUUAAAGUUGUUGCAGUUAAAAAGCUCGUAGUUGAAUUUCGGGAUCAAUACGUCGGUCGUGCUUCGGUACGUACUGGUGUCAUUGAUUUCUCCCUUCUGACGAACCAUGAUGUCAUUAACUUGGUGUCAUGGGAAAUCAGGACUGUUACUUUGAAAAAUUAGAGUGUUUAAAGCAGGCUCACGCUUGAAUACAUUAGCAUGGAAUAAUGAAAUAGGACGUUCGAUCCUAUUUUGUUGGUUUCUAGGAUCAACGUAAUGAUUAAUAGGGAUAGUUGGGGGCAUUAGUAUUCAAUUGUCAGAGGUGAAAUUCUUGGAUUUAUUGAAGACUAACUACUGCGAAAGCAUUUGCCAAGCAUGUUUUCAUUAAUCAAGAACGAAAGUUAGGGGAUCGAAGACGAUCAGAUACCGUCGUAGUCUUAACCAUAAACUAUGCCGACUAGGGAUUGGAUGAUGUUAAUUAUUUAAUGACU